UACGUAGGCAGCAAGCGUUGUUCGGAGUUACUGGGCGUAAAGGGUGUGUAGGCGGUUGUUUAAGUUUGGUGUGAAAUCUCCCGGCUCAACUGGGAGGGUGCGCCGAAUACUGAAUGACUCGAGUGCGGGAGAGGUGAGUGGAAUUCCUGGUGUAGCGGUGAAAUGCGCAGAUAUCGGGAAGAACACCCGUGGCGAAGGCGGCACUCUGGGACGGUACUGACGCUGAGACGCGAAAGCGUGGGGAGCGAACAGG
RNAcentral lists this ribosomal RNA (253 nucleotides) under uncultured bacterium. RNAcentral's name for it is "partial 16S ribosomal RNA". It matches the Rfam family "Bacterial small subunit ribosomal RNA", at positions 524 to 776 of the family's 1533-position model. The record is from RNAcentral.